RNAcentral lists this non-coding RNA (89 nucleotides) under uncultured Robinsoniella sp. RNAcentral's name for it is "THF riboswitch". It matches the Rfam family "THF (Tetrahydrofolate) riboswitch aptamer". Rfam says of the family: THF riboswitch presents a pseudoknot that joins P1-P2 and the loop of P3 and two THF binding. The record is from RNAcentral. Lineage: Bacteria; Bacillati; Bacillota; Clostridia; Lachnospirales; Lachnospiraceae.
GUAGAGUAGAUGUUACGCGUAAAGUGUCACGGAAUAGGAAGAGUUUCUGUGAACGAAGGAAAAUCCGCGUUGUAAUAUCGCUUCCGCUA